ACGUGUAGCAGUGAAAUGCGUAGAGAUGUGGAGGAACACCGAUGGCGAAGGCAGCCCCCUGGGAUAACACUGACGCUCAUGCACGAAAGCGUGGGGAGCAAACAGGAUUAGAUACCCUGGUAGUCCACGCCCUAAACGAUGUCAACUGGUUGUUGGAAGGGUAACCUUUUAGUAACGAAGCCAACGCGUGAAGUUGACCGCCUGGGGAGUACGGUCGCAAGAUUAAAACUCAAAGGAAUUGACGGGGACCCGCACAAGCGGUGGAUGAUGUGGUUUAAUUCGAUGCAACGCGAAAAACCUUACCUACACUUGACAUGCCAGAAAUCCUGCAGAGAUGUGGGAGUGCCGCAAGGAAUCUGGGCACAGGUGCUGCAUGGCUGUCGUCAGCUCGUGUCGUGAGAUGUUGGGUUAAGUCCCGCAACGAGCGCAACCCUUGUCACUAGUUGCUACAUUUAGUUGGGCACUCUAGUGAGACUGCCGGUGACAAACCGGAGGAAGGUCAGGAUGACGUCAAGUCCUCAUGGCCCUUAUGUGUAGGGCUACACACGUCAUACAAUGGUCGGUACAGAGGGUUGCCAACCCGCGAGGUGGAGCUAAUCUCACAAAGCCGAUCGUAGUCCGGAUCGCAGUCUGCAACUCGACUGCAUGAAGUCGGAAUCGCUAGUAAUCGUGGAUCAGCAUGUCUCGGUGAAUACGUUCCCGGGUCUUGUACACACCGCCCGUCACACCAUGGGAGUGGAAUCCGCCAGAAGUAGUUAGCCUAACCGCAAGGAGGGCGAUUACCACGGUAGGUUUCAUGACUGGGGUG
Molecule: ribosomal RNA, 808 nt
Filed under: uncultured beta proteobacterium
Lineage: Bacteria; Pseudomonadati; Pseudomonadota; Betaproteobacteria
Description: bacterial SSU rRNA
Rfam family: Bacterial small subunit ribosomal RNA
Source: RNAcentral